RNAcentral lists this transfer RNA (40 nucleotides) under Aspergillus nidulans. RNAcentral's name for it is "partial tRNA-Thr". Lineage: Eukaryota; Fungi; Ascomycota; Eurotiomycetes; Eurotiales; Aspergillaceae. The record is from RNAcentral.
GCCCGGUUAGCAUAAAAGUAAUGUAUCCGUUUUGUAAUCG